CCUACGGGUGGCAGCAGUGAGGAAUAUUGGUCAAUGGCCGGAAGGCUGAACCAGCCAUGCCGCGUGAAGGUCAGUGCCCUAUGGGCGUUAAACUUCUUUUGUGCGGGAGCAAUAAUGGUCACGUGUGGCCAGACGAGAGUACCGUACGAAUAAGCAUCGGCUAACUCCGUGCCAGCAGCCGCGGUAAUACGGGGGAUGCAAGCGUUAUCCGGAUUUAUUGGGUUUAAAGGGUGCGUAGGCUGUGAGGUAAGUCAGCGGUGAAAUGCACCCGCUCAACGGGGUGAAGUGCCAUUGAUACUGCCUGGCUGGAAUGCGGAUGCCGUUGGAGGAAUGUGUGGUGUAGCGGUGAAAUGCAUAGAUAUCACACAGAACACCGAUUGCGAAGGCAUCUCACGAAGCCGCGAUUGACGCUGAUGCACGAAAGCGUGGGUAUCAAACAGGAUUAGAUACCCUUGUAGUC
This 460-nucleotide ribosomal RNA is filed under the name uncultured bacterium. Its description in RNAcentral is "partial 16S ribosomal RNA". It matches the Rfam family "Bacterial small subunit ribosomal RNA", at positions 338 to 795 of the family's 1533-position model. The record is from RNAcentral.